CAAGGAAUUAAGAGUUUAUGGGGGAUACCUUGGCAUUCAGAAGCGAUGAAGGACGCGGUUACCGGCGAAACGCUUCGGGGAGCUGGAAACAAGCUAUGAUCCGGAGGUCUCCGAAUGAGGAAACUUUUUAUACUACUUAUUGAAUUCAUAGAUAAGAAAGAGCGAACCUAGGGAAUUGAAACAUCUUAGUACCUAGAGGAAAAGAAAGUAACAAACGAUUCUCUUAGUAGCGGCGAGCGAAACGGGAGAAGCCUAAACUUAGUUUCAACUAAGGGUAGCGGGACAAU
Molecule: ribosomal RNA, 287 nt
Filed under: Durinskia baltica
Lineage: Eukaryota; Dinophyceae; Peridiniales; Kryptoperidiniaceae
Description: partial Bacterial large subunit ribosomal RNA
Rfam family: Bacterial large subunit ribosomal RNA
Source: RNAcentral